Molecule: long non-coding RNA, 816 nt
Organism: Symphalangus syndactylus (siamang)
Lineage: Eukaryota; Metazoa; Chordata; Mammalia; Primates; Hylobatidae
Source: RefSeq, a predicted model, not a curated record
UGCCGGGAGUUUCCGUCUUGGUCUCCUUGGUUACCGCGUUACCUCGGUACCCAUAGCAACCAGAAAACUGGGUUCUGCCACUGUCCGCCGGCAGAGGGCGAAAAGGAGCCUGCGAAAUGAGAGAGAAGGGUGAUCACAGAAAGGAAAGGGCGGAAAAACUCAACAGGCUCUGGAAGCUUUCUGCCAGAGAGGAUCUUGGAGAUUAGGUACUCUGGAAGAGCAUCAAGAAAAUCUGACUGAAAAAAGAUUGACUGAGCUGGGUGUUGGAGUAUAAGCCAGAGUUUCACAGGUACUUAUCAUCUCUGCACAAGCCUUUGCAUCUUGAAAAUCCACCAGUUUUAUAGCACUCUGAAAAAAUUCCUUGUUGCCAUGGAGAUACUGUUCUUUCACAGUGAAUCCUUCUUGAAGUGAGGAAUCUGAGGCCCAGAGAGAUUAAGAAGCUUCACAAGUGACAUGACUUGUGCCAAAUCACAAGGUCAUUUAGUUGCAGAACUGGGACAGGAAUUCAUGCCCAGUUCUCUUUUCAAAACCCUGUGGAAAAAAGAAGCACAUUCAAUUUAGCCUUUGAUUCGUCAUCAGCAUUAUCAGAGAUGGGGUGCAUUUUUUUUUAAGAGAAAUGUUGGAAACAACCUACUGAAGAAAGGCUAAAUAAGACAAAAUAACCCAAAGCCCUCUUCCUGCUUUUCCAAAAGAAGAAAAAUGCAACCCAGAAAACCUGCAAAGUUUGAAACAAAAUGGCAAUCAAAUAUAAAUGAUACAAUAAAGUACUAUGCUCACUACCUGGGUGAUGAGAUCAUUUAUACCCCAAACCUUAGU